GACGAACGCUGGCGGCGUGCUUAACACAUGCAAGUCGAACGGAAAGGCCCUGCUUUUGUGGGGUGCUCGAGUGACGAACGGGUGAGUAACAAGUGAGUAGCCUGCCCUUGACUUUGGGCUCACUUCAGGAAACUGGGGCUAAUACCGGAUAGGACCUCCGGCUGCAGGGUGGGGGUUGGAAAGUUUGGGCGGUUGGGGAUGGACUCCCGGCUUAUCACUUUGUUGGUGGGGGGGUGGCUUACCAGGGCUUGGGCGGGUGGCCGGCCUGGGAGGGUGACCGGCCAAAUUGGGCCUGGGAUCCGGCCCGGCCUCCUCCGGGGGGCAGCAGUGGGGAAUAUUGCACAAUGGGCCGAACCCUGAUCAAGCAACCCCGCGUGCGGGAUGACGGCCUUCGGGUUGUAACCGGUUUCCGCCUGUGACGAAGCGUGAGUGACGGUACCGGGUAAAGAAGCACCGGCUAACUACGUG
This 468-nucleotide ribosomal RNA is filed under the name uncultured bacterium. RNAcentral describes it as "partial 16S ribosomal RNA". It matches the Rfam family "Bacterial small subunit ribosomal RNA", at positions 28 to 507 of the family's 1533-position model. The record is from RNAcentral.